UACGUAGGGGGCAAGCGUUGUCCGGAAUCAUUGGGCGUAAAGCGCGCGUAGGCGGCUCGGAAAGUCGGGCGUGAAAUGCCGGGGCUCAACCCCGGGACUGCGUCCGAUACUUCCGAGCUGGAGGUAGGUAGGGGAGAUCGGAAUUCCUGGUGUAGCGGUGAAAUGCGCAGAUAUCAGGAGGAACACCGGUGGCGAAGGCGGAUCUCUGGGCCUUACCUGACGCUGAGGCGCGAAAGCUAGGGGAGCAAACAGG
RNAcentral lists this ribosomal RNA (253 nucleotides) under uncultured bacterium. RNAcentral describes it as "partial 16S ribosomal RNA". It matches the Rfam family "Bacterial small subunit ribosomal RNA", at positions 524 to 776 of the family's 1533-position model. The record is from RNAcentral.